Molecule: ribosomal RNA, 438 nt
Filed under: uncultured bacterium
Lineage: Bacteria
Description: bacterial SSU rRNA
Rfam family: Bacterial small subunit ribosomal RNA
Source: RNAcentral
CAGUGGGGAAUAUUGGACAAUGGGCGCAAGCCUGAUCCAGCCAUACCGCGUGGGUGAAGAAGGCCUUCGGGUUGUAAAGCCCUUCUGUUGGGAAAGAAAUCCAGCCGGCUAAUACCUGGUUGGGAUGACGGUACCCAAAGAAUAAGCACCGGCUAACUUCGUGCCAGCAGCCGCGGUAAUACGAAGGGUGCAAGCGUUACUCGGAAUUACUGGGCGUAAAGCGUGCGUAGGUGGUUGUUUAAGUCUGUUGUGAAAGCCCUGGGCUCAACCUGGGAACUGCAGUGGAAACUGGACAACUAGAGUGUGGUAGAGGGUAGCGGAAUUCCCGGUGUAGCAGUGAAAUGCGUAGAGAUCGGGAGGAACAUCAAUGGCGAAGGCAGCUACCUGGACCAACACUGACGCUGAGGCUCGAAGGCUAGGGGAGCAAAAGGGAUUAGA